Acanthochromis polyacanthus (spiny chromis) is the source of this 3424-nucleotide long non-coding RNA. RefSeq lists it as uncharacterized. The record is from RefSeq and is a predicted model, not a curated record. The transcript is spliced from 5 exons. NCBI's taxonomy places the organism in Eukaryota, Metazoa, Chordata, Actinopteri, Pomacentridae.
AGACUUGCCAUGCUUCACCUGCCCACUAGAUGUCCUCAUCAAGAGUCCCUGCUCCCCCUGAUCACCUGUCUGUGCAGCUUCACCUCAUUAUCUUGCCUUUUAUGAUAAUUUACAGCACAAGGUUUAGUCACCACGAUUAUGCGGUUAGUUGGCCUCCAAACUUGCCAGAUCGCAAUUUGAUUGGGCAGCAGAACAAGCCCCACCUCGCAACCUGCAGGACCCAAAGGAUCCACCGCCAGCGUCCCGGUGCCAGAACACCACAGGUCACCCUCAGAGGUCCUUGUUGUGAAAGAUUAAGACCACGACUUGCAGACUUGCUUCCGUGUCUGGUGUUGUUCCUGACUCCUGGCCACAGAGCCACGCAAUCAAAGCCAAAUGAGUCCAUAAACAGACCCUGACAUGCCAGCUGUCAUCUAACGGACAAUUGGCUCUGCCAGCGCUCAUUCGAUGCCGGGUGAGAAAGUAGCAGUUCCUUCUUAAGGUCAGAGAUUGCAGCAUCUGAGGGCCUCUUCAAAAGAAGACGUAGUUGAUGAAGAUGUUCUGGAGCAGGACCAGAAAGACCACGACCAAGCAGCUUUGAGAUCUCAGGCAGCAUCUCCCUCAGACCAAAGACCAACUGACUCUUCACAACCUGCUCAGACACUUGGUACAGGACCUCACCACACGGAUCAAGAAGGUUUCCUUCUGAUUUCUACUCUGAAGCUCACCUCCUGCUCAAACUGCUGACAAAUGUUUCUGCUGCUCUAAAGUCUGGUCUCCAGAACUUCCUAAAACUCUCAAAGUCUCUUCUGCUGCAGGUUGCUUUGUAGAACUGUUACAGAAAACCUCACUAAACCACGUGGAGGGGCCUCAAGAUAGUCAUCCAAAUGAAACCGUACAAAAACCAAACUAGCACAACCCAAACACUAAAGUCUCCUGCAGCCUACCAGAGAACCUCUCUAAACAGAGAAUCAGGACAGGAACUCUUACCUUCUGGACAACCAACGUUGGUUGACAAACAGGAAUACAGAAUGUGUCUGACCAAAAACCUCUAAAGACUUACUAAAGCCAAGAAAAAGACACAACUCAGCUACACCAAACCCACUAAUUACUGCACACAUUAGCACCAUGUGCUAACUGUGGCUAAAUAACUGCAUUUACCAAGACAACUAUCCAGUACAAAGCCCUAAAACACACGAAGAAACACAUUAAAGUCAAUUUUACUGCUGGAAGCUGCAAGCCAACACCUAAAGAACAAACUAAAGCGACGGAGCGAAACUCGGUUCAGUGAAGAGAAGCAGAGGAAAUGUUUGACUGCAGACAUAAAGCAGGAAGACACUGAGCUGCUCAGGCGUUCCUGAUAACACCAAGCAACCACCUGGACAGCCAAUAGGAACACAGCUUACUGGAAGUCCAGAGGGCUGGGUUAGUGAAGUAAAUUUAGUGUAAAUUUGAAGCAGAAAGUUAACAAAGAAAGUUGAAAACCACCUUCCGAUACCUGAAAUCUCUGAGUUUUCACACAUAGAAUGCCUGAACAUGUCGAACUGGUUUCAUAGUCGAACCGUCACUGUAAAAACGUGAUAGUAUGGUGUGUUGCUCAAAAAACAUUACAACCGGCUGUGUAUUUUGUCGAGGAGCAGCACAAAAACACGACUCAUUGUGGAGGGCUUCCUGCUUUACACCUACAGGCCUUUGAUGGACGCGCUAAACCAACGUUACUUUAUUUCCAUCCCAUAUGAAGAAUGCAAAAAGAGGAAGUGCUCUAGGAAGUAGACGGUGCCAGACCCCCCCGGCCUGUUCGAUGGCCACGUCUGGACCAUGGACCUGCAACACAAGAACAUCUGCUCACUGUUAAAGAUUAUUGAGAGCAGCUUUUUGUGAUUUCUGUGCAGAACACUUUGAUGUUUGCUGAGCUGUGCACUAUGAAAUGACUUAAGAAUGUGGAAUAUUGCUACUCUUUAUUAUUGUUCUCAGGUUUACUAUUAAAUGUAUAGAGUGCUACUUCGUGUAUUUUUAAAUUUACAUUACUGCACAGAACAUUUCAGAUUAUUUUACCACAGAUCAAGGGUACAGAUUGUUGUUGUUCACUGUGUAUUGGGUAGUACUCAUUUUGAUUUAGACUGAUUAGUAUACAGAACCCUAUGAUGUUUAUGGUUUACGGCUGAGAACUAGUUGCUAAAAGUACAGAAUAUUAUUUGUUAUUUUAGGAAUGAUAAUUGUCAGUAAACAUUCUAAGAAGUGGAAAUUGACAGGGUUGUAUAUAGUGCUGUUCUUGCACAAUAUUUGCUUACUAGUUUUACAUAACAGAUGCUGCAGCUGAUGAUGCUGUGAUUCACAUAAACAAGGAAAGAAGUCCAUCAUAAUUUGAAUGUUAACAGUCCAAAAUGAAAAGGUGAAAUACAGCUUUCCUAUUGGGCUAAAGAGCAAAAAAACAAAAAAAAAAACAUGAAAAAUACUUUGUAAAAGUGAGAGGUCGGUCGCAGCUUUCAUUUUUUCUUACAACUUUUCGGUGGCCUCCCCGAAAUAUCUGUUGUACCCCCCUGUGCCCGCCCCACUAAGAUUAAUCUGGAUCCGCCUCUGAUAAGGUGUCUCCCAGUCUGCAGAAGUUUGACAGAACAUGGAUAUUCCAGCAUGAAAACAACCCAAAGCCCACUGCACACAAAAGUUUUUAAAGAAGCAAAAGUGAAAACUAUGACCUGGCUGAGUAUGUUACCCGAAUUUAGUCCAGCAGAACUCCUUUGGGGUAUUUUAAACAGAAAAGCAGAGCAACACAAUGCCUUCAGCAAAGUACAGCUGAAAAAAAUAUCUCUGGCAAAACAUCUGUCCAGACUGUGCAACUGUGGUGUCCCUCAUGUCGAGUAGGGUUGAGUCUGUCAUCCAAAGUAAAGGUGGACAAAGAGAGACCAAACUGACUUUUGUUGCACUGAGUUCCUGCUGUGGGGCCUGUAAUUUUAAUAUUCUAACUGUUAGUUUUAAUGCACAAGAGCAAAUACUGUAAUGUUCAGCUUAGAAGCAAUGCAGUUACUGUAAGGUUUUAAUCAUUUGGCAAUGACGUGGCACAGGGGUGUACUCACUUCUGUUGUAUUCUGUGCACUAAUCAGCUCACCAUCUGGAGAAUAUAUACACUUUGAGUGGGUUGUGUGGGCCCUGAACAAAUGAUUGGAAGUCUGGUAGCAGCUCGUCUCCCGGUUUGCCUAUUAUGAGGGAGUGAGCAGGCUGGAGGACCUCAGCUGUAUGUGGACCCAUGACAGACAACUGAUUGUGUGCUUCUCUGUGUUGGGACGGUGAGCGGUGGUUCUGCUGGCGGUGAAAGUGUUAACAGUUGCAGUAUUUUGUUCUUUAUGUGUGGAUUUUAAAAUGUGUCACAGCCUCUAAGCUGUACCUAGCGAAACAGUUUCAUAAAUGCUAAGAAUGAAUGCGGAAUUAAAUUCAAAACCCUCUCGCA